UUUCCCUCAGGAUAGCUGGCAGUCAUUCGCAAGAUCAGUUUUAUCCGGUAAAGCGAAUGCUUAGAGGUAUUGGGUUCGAAAAGACCUCAACAUUUUCUCAAACUUUAAAUGGGUGAAAUGCACGGCUCACAUUAUAGGUUUCGGGCGCUGAAUGUGCGAGUGCCAAGUGGGCCAUUUUUGGUAAGCAGAACUGGCGCUGUGGGAUGAACCA
RNAcentral lists this non-coding RNA (211 nucleotides) under Schistocephalus solidus. Its description in RNAcentral is "Eukaryotic large subunit ribosomal RNA". It matches the Rfam family "Eukaryotic large subunit ribosomal RNA", at positions 967 to 1170 of the family's 3401-position model. Lineage: Eukaryota; Metazoa; Platyhelminthes; Cestoda; Diphyllobothriidea; Diphyllobothriidae. The record is from Rfam by way of RNAcentral.